Molecule: ribosomal RNA, 654 nt
Filed under: uncultured archaeon
Lineage: Archaea
Description: bacterial SSU rRNA
Rfam family: Archaeal small subunit ribosomal RNA
Source: RNAcentral
GCCUAAAAGCGUCCGUAGCCGGUUUUAAAAGUCUCUUGUGAAAUUGUUGGGCUUAACCUAACAACGUGCGAGGGAAACUAUCUGACUAGAGACUGGGAGGAGGUAGAAGUAUUCUGAGGGGAGCGGUAAAAUGUUGUAAUCCUCGGAGGACUACCAGUGGCGAAGGCGUCUACCUAGAACAGGUCUGACGGUGAGGGACGAAGGCCAGGGGAGCAAAACGGAUUAGAUACCCGAGUAGUCCUGGCAGUAAACGCUGUGAGCUAUGUGUUGCACAAUCCCUGAGGUUGUGCAGUGCCUAAGCGAAGGUGUUAAGCUCACCACCUGGGAAGUACAGUCGCAAGACCGAAACUUAAAGGAAUUGGCGGGGGCUCACUACAAGGAGUGAAGAGUGCGGUUUAAUUGGAUUCUACGCCGGAAAUCUCACCAGGGGCGACGGCAUUAUGAAGGUCAGAUUAAAGGUUUUACCUGAGGCGCCGAGAGGUGGUGCAUGGCCGACGCCAGCUCGUGCCGUGAGGUGUCACGUUAAGUCGUGCAACGAGCAAGACCCAUAUCCACUUUUACCAGCGGGUGCUACGGCAUGUCUGGGUACAAUGUGGAGACUGCUUUUGUAAGGAAGAGGAAGGUGUGGGCAACGUUAGGUCAGUAUGCCCCGAA